Molecule: ribosomal RNA, 291 nt
Filed under: uncultured bacterium
Lineage: Bacteria
Description: partial 16S ribosomal RNA
Rfam family: Bacterial small subunit ribosomal RNA
Source: RNAcentral
GUGCCAGCCGCCGCGGUAAUACGUAGGUGGCGAGCGUUGUCCGGAAUUAUUGGGCGUAAAGCGCGCGCAGGUGGGAUCUUAAGUCUGUUUUUAAAGUGCGGAGCUCAACUCCGUGAUGGGAUGGAAACUGGGAUUCUUGAGUAUCGGAGAGGAAAGCGGAAUUCCCCGUGUAGCGGUGAAAUGCGUAGAUAUGGGGAGGAACACCAGUGGCGAAGGCGGCUUUCUGGACGAUGUCUGACACUGAGGCGCGAAAGCUAGGGGAGCGAACGGGAUUAGAUACCCGCGUAGUCC